UAAGGAAUAUUGGUCAAUGGGCGCAAGCCUGAACCAGCCAUGCCGCGUGCAGGAAGACGGCCCUCCGGGUUGUAAACUGCUUUUGUACGGGAAUAAACCUCGCUACGUGUAGCGAGCUGAAUGUACCGUAAGAAUAAGGAUCGGCUAACUCCGUGCCAGCAGCCGCGGUAAUACGGAGGAUCCAAGCGUUAUCCGGAUUUAUUGGGUUUAAAGGGUGCGUAGGCGGCCUGUUAAGUCAGGGGUGAAAGACGGUGGCUCAACCAUCGCAGUGCCCUUGAUACUGAUGGGCUUGAAUGGACUAGAGGUAGGCGGAAUGUGACAAGUAGCGGUGAAAUGCAUAGAUAUGUCACAGAACACCGAUUGCGAAGGCAGCUUACUAUGGUUUUAUUGACGCUGAGGCACGAAAGCGUGGGGAUCGAACA
This 422-nucleotide ribosomal RNA is filed under the name Pseudomonas sp. Its description in RNAcentral is "partial 16S ribosomal RNA". It matches the Rfam family "Bacterial small subunit ribosomal RNA", at positions 355 to 774 of the family's 1533-position model. RNAcentral also lists the same sequence under 2 other names. The record is from RNAcentral. Lineage: Bacteria; Pseudomonadati; Pseudomonadota; Gammaproteobacteria; Pseudomonadales; Pseudomonadaceae.